This 4744-nucleotide long non-coding RNA is filed under the name Homo sapiens (human). Its description in RNAcentral is "HSALNT0323482". Lineage: Eukaryota; Metazoa; Chordata; Mammalia; Primates; Hominidae. The record is from RNAcentral.
CUUUUAAUCAAGAGUUCCUCCAGAAUGAACUCAGGAUUUGAGAUGGAUCCUUCCUGGCUCAUGUUUGAUAUUCUUGUCAGAAACCCUUCUUGCCCUGAUUGGAAACUCAACUUACCCUGCAGCAAAGGUAAAUAAAAAUGUUUCAAUUGAACUUCAUUGUGCUCCUGGGCCUUUAUUCUUCAAGAGUUAACAGUGCAGACUUCUGGUGAUCCUCAUCCUAGGUGUUACCACAUCUAUAGAAUAGUAACUCAGGAGUGCAAUAGACUGUCGCAUUAAAAGGAAAGAAAAAUAACUUUUCAGCAUUAUGUAGCACUAAAUUUUGGAACUGGAAAUGGCCUUUAUAUCAUCUAGUCUUUCAUUAGAAAAGCAGGACAAUCAACUUGGACAUUGUCCUCGGGCAGAUAAGAGAUAGUAAAAUACCAUAAUCCAUUCAUAUUUGUGUAAUUCUUUGAUUCUCCAAAUUUUUUCCAAAAAAUAUUAAUGGCUUAUACAAAGAAAAACAAGAACAAAAUAUACAAAGAAAAAAACAAGGUUAUGAAAGAAAUUAAAAGCAAGGUAGUGAAUCACGGAUUUGAAUAGGGCUCUGUUUUUCUUACUGGUUUUGUAACAUCAGACAACUCAUGUAACAUUUCGGUUUCCUCAUCUGUAAAAUUUGAAUGUUUUUGAGGAUUAAGUAAAGUAAUACAUUUAAGACACUUAUCCUGGUGGCAAGAAAUAGUAAAUGCUCGAUAAAUAUUAGCUAAAAGUAUAUAUGCCGAUAUACAUGGGUUAAUACAGAUACUACGAUGGAGUAUUAGAUAAAGUUCUAGCUCACUGCAGCCUUCACCUUCCAGACUCAAGCGAUUCUUCUGCCUCAGCCUCUCAAGCAGCUGGGACCACAGAUGUGUGCCACCACACAUGGCUAUGUUGCCCAGGCAGGUCUUAAACUCCUGGACUCAAGCAGUCCUCUCCCCUUGGCCUCCCAAAGUGCUGCGAUUACAGGUGUGAGCCACUGUUCCAGCCCUGAGGUUCUUGAUAGUCUAGGUAGAGAGGAAAAUUAAAGAAGUUAUGUGGAAAACAUACAUUCUUUAGGAGAGUUUUUCCUGGCACCAAAUAAAUAUUCAUCCCACAGAGUUAGAGGGAUAUUGAGUACUGGACUUGAUUAUGUCCUUGACCCCAGUACUAAAUUUGUGAACUUGGACAAGUUAUUUAACCUAUCAUGUAUAAAUGUAUUAACAUACUGUAUGUUUACUUUUAGUCACUUUUGAGAUUGAUAAAAAGUGCUGAAUAAAGUGUUUUGGGAAGUGCCUUUUUCAUUCAAUCCUGUACACCUAAAACUUGUUUAUAACAACUAGUUUAUUCAUAUUCAUCUCUGUAAUAUUCCAUUGUGUGAUUAUAUCACAAUUCAUCCUUUCUCCUGUCAAUGGGCAUUUAGGUUGCUUCCAGGGUUUUCGCUAUUGCAAAUGGCUGUGGUAUAAAAAUUCCUGUAUAGCUCUCCUGACACUCAAGCGUACUUCCCCUCCAAUAACCUGGAUUGUAGAUUCUAGCUGUUUCAGCAGCCGGAAACCUCCACUCCGCCUCCUCAGUUCAGCAAUACCACCAUUCUGAGCCGCAUUCCUUGCACCAUGGUUGGGAAUGUCCUCCCAUGGAGACAGACAUGGUGAACCUGGGAUUCACCUUGUGUAUUUCCUUUCUUUUAGAUAUCAGUCUGCUUUGACUAGUAUCCAAUUCCUGAAAACAGUUGCUUCAUAUAUUUUGUCCAGCAUUAACUGUUGUUUGGGGUAGCAAGAUAAGUCCACUUAAAAUUAUAGCCGGAAGUGGAAGUCUAUUCAUCCCUAUUUUCUAUUCAAAUAUUUAGUUUUGUUUCGGUUAGUUAAUUCUUAAUACAGCUGUGGUUUAUUUGCUCAAACCAAAAGCCCAAGAGAAAUUUCAUUUAAAGGUAAUUUGAAGGAUACAAUAUCUUAGAUAUUCUUCAAGAUGCACUUAUCACAUCACAGUUUCAUAAUGCUCAACACUUCUUAAAGUGCUUUCACAUGGAAUAAUUUUCACGUACCUAAACUAUUGGCCUAUUAGGUAUCUGGCUUUCUGGUGAGGUACUUGUCAUGUUUUCCAUUGAAUUAUAUAUGGAUUUUUUUCCCAAUUAUGUCCAGAAAUGAAAUAUAUUCCAAGAUCCCUAUGAGAAACUUAAGAAAUAAAGAAACUCCCAUUUAUUCUAGUCUGGUGCUGUCACUUUUUCAAAUUUCUUAGCCUACUUCUACAGCAGCUAAGAAUUGGGAGAUAUGACAAUAGACAGGUCAGUUGAGAGAAAGUUUCCCAAAUCAAUACAGCCACUUACUUGAAUCUGUUAGCAACCGUAUCUUCUCUUGAGAUGUGUUUUGUACAAGGUGCUAUGGACUAUUUCUAAUUUCAUUGUGGUAGGCUUCCCUUCUCUUCAUUUUUCUCCACUUAACCUGAUCUGUCAGGUUGUAAACAAAUUUGAUUUGAAGGCAUGUUUGCUUCUAAUAGGCAAUUCUAUAGUACAGCCAAGAAGGCAAUUCUAUAUACAGCCAAGAAGGAUAUAUGUUGCUGGGGUAAUUUUUUAUAAUUAAAAAAAGUAUAAACUUAAAAAAUUGGUAUACAUAGGCAAACAGGUAAAAAUAAACCUUUGUUUCCUUCCAACAGAUACAUAAGCUCUGAGUAUUCUAAGCAUGUGUAACAGAAUGCUAAGCAACAGUCAAGCACAUACUCAACUAAUAACUAUGGUCUAUAAUAUUUUAGGUAUUGUGUGUCUUGUAAAUAGUAAAAUCAAGUAAUUCUUUCAAAUGUGCAGUGUUUAGAUUUGAAAUGAUUACAAGCACCAAAAAAACCCAUGAAUUAAAAUACAAUAUUUUAUUUUUGUCACCUAAAAAACAAGCAACCCAGAAUUAAGAUAUACGUAAGUUUCUCAAAUUUAUCCUAAUAAAAUUUUGAAUAUUUAUACAAUUUCUACAGAAACAUACAGUGUAUCAAAAUCUGCAUAAAUCAAAUUUAUAAAAUGUGUAGAAAUGCAUAGUGAUAUUACCAACUUACAAAGCAAGGAUAUGGGAAUUAUUUCCAAAGCAGCCUACAGUAGAAAAUAGUCAUUAUGGCAGCAGCUUCUGAUGUUUUUGUUUGGUAGGUUUUCUGAUUUCAAUAUAUAGAAUCAUAUUCAUAGAGUAUCUUCUUUUAACGAAUUGCACAAAGUACCCAUUUAAAAUUUACAUGCACAGUUCAUUGCCACCUUUCUUAGGCCUAUGCAUAGUUAAUAAGGUUAUAAUCUACUCAACAUGGAAAAUGGAGCCUAUUUGCAAACACACAAGUAAUUAAAGUACCAAUUCUCUCUUAGUUUCUUUUUUUAUAGUUGGUUUAUUUUGCAAUUAUAAAUGUUAAACAUCCCUAGAGAUGAAAGUUAAAAUGGUUGAUCACAGAUCAGUAGCAAAAUACAAAUUGACAAUUCAAAAUUAUAAAUAAAACUCUGUUGAGGAUGUUUAACUUUGAGUCUCCAAAUUUAAGAGCUAAGCUUGGAAGAAACAAAUUUAUAGGUUAUAUUUCCCUCUUAAAUUAAAAAACAAACUUCCUCUGGCAGUAGUUUGUGAAUUCCUUUCAUUGUAAUGAUACCAUGAUUACAGGAUCAAAAAUGCUUAACUUACUUGCCAUUCUGCUCACAUCAUCACAGUUGUUUUUUUUUUUUUAAGCACUCAAUGUAGGCAUUUUAAUCUUCUGGAUAACAGAGUAUCUUUUGAGAAAUUAAAAUCGAAUUGACCAUUUGCAAUAUUUGGUUUUCCUAAUAGGUACUGUCUUAGUAAAUGUUUAAAUCCAAACAAAUCUUCUGUUCACCGGAAAAAUACUAAUAAAAAUACACUUUCUAAAAAGAAAUUAAGAAACACUAGGGAACACCUAAUGUAACAGAAAGUAGUUCACGUUUGUUAAUAAACUGUAUUUUUAAAUAGUCCUUUGUUUUUAAAUUUUAAAAACGUGCAGAUAAUGUCAUUUGGAUGAAAAUAUAAAUGAAACAUCAGUUCACUCUUGGCUUCACAGGUUGCACAGCUUAGGUUAUAAUGCACACAAGUUUUAUAAGGCCUAAUCUAACAAGGGCUUGGAAAGUCUUACCUCAGUCAGAAUGAACCUUUGAUGUGUUUAUAACGGUGUUUUGUUGUUUUUGUCACCCUCGCUUUCAAGGGAUAACAAUAACAACUGAUAAUAGUUUUCUGUAUUGGCAGGUAUUGGAGAAAAGUAAAUCCCAAAUGUCAGUGGACAAUUUUUCUCUAGUUGGAAGACUCCUUUGCAAUCCUAGAAGUAGGUAUGGACAGAGGGCACUGGGAAUGCCAGUAGGUAAGGGAGUGAAUGCUACACAACUUCCAACCCUAUGGGACAGCCUUGGGAUGUUCCAUAUUGUCAUUUCUUUUUCAAGCCAUACAAAGUUCAACUUUAUAGCAAAUGGCAGCACAUAAAUUCAUUUCUGAGUAGUAAAAGUAUUCCCCAUACAGGUGACAAGUCCAUCAUUACCAUCCUAUAGAUUUCAUCACAAGCUCUUGAAAUAUAUACUGAGAAAUGAAAGAGGCACUAAAUGUGUUGAAAUUCACCUUUCAAAAAAGCAGCAUGACUGUGAAGGAAGGCCACCUUGGCUAAUAACCUGUGGCAGUGCUUCAAAAAGAUGUAAAAUUAAAUAAAGACACAACAGGUUGAUAAUCACCAAGUUAUAUAUGAAAGUCUGGCUACUCCAACCUUUUUUCAAGUGUGUUAAAAAUAAAAAUCAAACUGCCUUUCA